RNAcentral lists this ribosomal RNA (475 nucleotides) under Dietzia sp. Its description in RNAcentral is "bacterial SSU rRNA". It matches the Rfam family "Bacterial small subunit ribosomal RNA", at positions 389 to 875 of the family's 1533-position model. Lineage: Bacteria; Bacillati; Actinomycetota; Actinomycetes; Mycobacteriales; Dietziaceae. The record is from RNAcentral.
CAGCGACGCCGCGUGGGGGAUGACGGUCUUCGGAUUGUAAACCCCUUUCAGUAGGGACGAAGCGCAAGUGACGGUACCUGCAGAAGAAGCACCGGCUAACUACGUGCCAGCAGCCGCGGUAAUACGUAGGGUGCGAGCGUUGUCCGGAAUUACUGGGCGUAAAGAGCUCGUAGGCGGUUUGUCACGUCGUCUGUGAAAUCCCUCGGCUUAACCGGGGGCGUGCAGGCGAUACGGGCAGACUUGAGUACUACAGGGGAGACUGGAAUUCCUGGUGUAGCGGUGAAAUGCGCAGAUAUCAGGAGGAACACCGGUGGCGAAGGCGGGUCUCUGGGUAGUAACUGACGCUGAGGAGCGAAAGCAUGGGUAGCGAACAGGAUUAGAUACCCUGGUAGUCCAUGCCGUAAACGGUGGGCGCUAGGUGUGGGGUCCUUCCACGGACUCCGUGCCGUAGCUAACGCAUUAAGCGCCCCGCCUG